UACGAAGGUGGCAAGCGUUGUUCGGAAUUACUGGGCGUAAAGCGCGUGUAGGCGGCUCUUCAAGUCAGGCGUGAAAGCCCUGAGCUCAACUCAGGAACUGCGCUUGAUACUGUCGAGCUAGAGUGUGGAAGGGGCAAUCGGAAUUCCGUGUGUAGCGGUGAAAUGCGCAGAUAUACGGAGGAACACCAGAGGCGAAGGCGGAUUGCUGGGCCAACACUGACGCUGAGACGCGAAAGCCGGGGUAGCAAACGGG
This 253-nucleotide ribosomal RNA is filed under the name uncultured bacterium. Its description in RNAcentral is "partial 16S ribosomal RNA". It matches the Rfam family "Bacterial small subunit ribosomal RNA", at positions 524 to 776 of the family's 1533-position model. The record is from RNAcentral.